AGACUUUGAUCAUGGCUCAGGACGAACGCUGGCGGCGUGCUUAACACAUGCAAGUCGAACGGGGUGUUUAUUUCGGUAAACACCAAGUGGCGAACGGGUGAGUAACGCGUAAGCAAUCUACCUUCAAGAUGGGGACAACACUUCGAAAGGGGUGCUAAUACCGAAUGAAUGUAAGAGUAUCGCAUGAGACACUUACUAAAGGAGGCCUCUGACAUAAGCUUCCGCUUGAAGAUGAGCUUGCGUCUGAUUAGCUAGUUGGUGAGGGUAAGGGCCCACCAAGGCGACGAUCAGUAGCCGGUCUGAGAGGAUGAACGGCCACAUUGGGACUGAGACACGGCCCAGACUCCUACGGGAGGCAGCAGUGGGGAAUCUUCCGCAAUGGGCGAAAGCCUGACGGAGCAACGCCGCGUGAACGAUGAAGGUCUUAGGAUCGUAAAGUUCUGUUGUUAGGGACGAAGGGUAAGAAUCAUAAUACGGUUUUUAUUUGACGGUACCUAACGAGGAAGCCACGGCUAACUACGUGCCAGCAGCCGCGGUAAUACGUAGGCGGCAAGCGUUGUCCGGAAUUAUUGGGCGUAAAGGGAGCGCAGGCGGGAAACUAAGCGGAUCUUAAAAGUGCGGGGCUCAACCCCGUGAUGGGGUCCGAACUGGUUUUCUUGAGUGCAGGAGAGGAAAGCGGAAUUCCCAGUGUAGCGGUGAAAUGCGUAGAUAUUGGGAAGAACACCAGUGGCGAAGGCGGCUUUCUGGACUGUAACUGACGCUGAGGCUCGAAAGCUAGGGUAGCGAACGGGAUUAGAUACCCCGGUAGUCCUAGCCGUAAACGAUGGAUACUAGGUGUGGGAGGUAUCGACCCCUUCCGUGCCGGAGUUAACGCAAUAAGUAUCCCGCCUGGGGAGUACGGCCGCAAGGUUGCAACUCAAAUGAAUUGA
Molecule: ribosomal RNA, 929 nt
Filed under: uncultured bacterium
Lineage: Bacteria
Description: bacterial SSU rRNA
Rfam family: Bacterial small subunit ribosomal RNA
Source: RNAcentral